RNAcentral lists this ribosomal RNA (833 nucleotides) under uncultured bacterium. RNAcentral's name for it is "bacterial SSU rRNA". It matches the Rfam family "Bacterial small subunit ribosomal RNA", at positions 58 to 887 of the family's 1533-position model. The record is from RNAcentral.
CAAGUCGAGCGCGAAAAUCCCUUCGGGGAUGUGUAGAGCGGCGGACGGGUGAGUAAUACAUGAGAAUCUGCCUUUUAGUGAAGAAUACCUUCGAGAAAUUGAAGUUAAUACUGCAUAAGUCCCUUCGGGGAGAAAGAUGGCCUCUUUGCUGUCGCUAAAAGAUGAGCUCAUGCACUAUUAGUUAGUUGGUGGGGUAAAGGCCUACCAAGACGAUGAUGGUUAGCCGGCCUGAGAGGGUGUACGGCCACAUUGGGACUGAGAUACGGCCCAGACUCCUACGGGAGGCAGCAGUGAGGAAUCUUGCGCAAUGGGGGAAACCCUGACGCAGCGACGCCGCGUGGAGGAUGAAGGUUUUAGGAUUGUAAACUCCUGUUAAGCGGGAAGAAAGAUACUGGUUUAAUAGACCAGGAUGAUGACGGUACCGCUAGAGAAAGCACCGGCUAACUUCGUGCCAGCAGCCGCGGUAAUACGAGGGGUGCUAACGUUAUUCGGAUUUAUUGGGCGUAAAGGGUGCGUAGGUGGCGCUAUAAGUCUGUUGUUAAAUUUUCCGGCCUAACCGGAAGCUCGCAAUGGAUACUGUAAUGCUAGAGGGUGGAAGAGAGAAGUGGAAUUCUUGGAGUAGCGGUAAAAUGCGUAGAUCUCAAGAGGAACACCAAUGGCGAAGGCAGCUUCUUGGUCCAAUCCUGACACUGAGGCACGAAAGCGUGGGGAGCAAACAGGAUUAGAUACCCUGGUAGUCCACGCUGUAAACGAUGAUCACUGGAUGUCGGUUUUGCUUUGCAAGAUCGGUGUCGUAGCUAACGCGCUAAGUGAUCCGCCUGGGGAUUACGGUC